Molecule: regulatory RNA element, 221 nt
Organism: Pseudomonas sp. M30-35
Lineage: Bacteria; Pseudomonadati; Pseudomonadota; Gammaproteobacteria; Pseudomonadales; Pseudomonadaceae
Rfam family: sucA-II RNA
Source: Rfam
CUGCGGUAUCGUGUUGAAUGCGAUGCCGCAGUUAUAGCCAGAAUCACAGCCCACAAAGCUGUGGUUCUAAUUUGAAAUAUUAUGACGACCAGCAGGGGCAUCUGGGCCGGAGCCCGGACUAUCUGCGGGAUCCGUGGUGGCUUUACCGAGGUCGCUGCAUCAAGACUUCGAAAGCCCACACGGUUUCUACGCCGGUGGUGUCCCCUAACCGAGGGUGACCA